RNAcentral lists this ribosomal RNA (253 nucleotides) under uncultured bacterium. RNAcentral's name for it is "partial 16S ribosomal RNA". It matches the Rfam family "Bacterial small subunit ribosomal RNA", at positions 524 to 776 of the family's 1533-position model. The record is from RNAcentral.
UACGGAGGGUGCAAGCGUUGUCCGGAUUUAUUGGGUUUAAAGGGUGCGUAGGCGGCUUUUUAAGUCAGUGGUGAAAGCCUCCAGCUUAACUGGAGAACAGCCAUUGAUACUGAAGAGCUUGAGUACAGACGAGGUAGGCGGAAUUUAUGGUGUAGCGGUGAAAUGCAUAGAUACCAUAAAGAACUCCUAUUGCGAAGGCAGCUUACUAGGCUGUAACUGACGCUGAGGCACGAAAGCCAGGGGAGCAAACGGG